This 84-nucleotide transfer RNA is filed under the name Pajaroellobacter abortibovis. It matches the Rfam family "tRNA". Rfam says of the family: Transfer RNA (tRNA) molecules are approximately 80 nucleotides in length. Lineage: Bacteria; Pseudomonadati; Myxococcota; Polyangiales; Polyangiaceae. The record is from Rfam by way of RNAcentral.
GGCUCCUUGGCGGAAUUGGCAUACGCAGCGGACUUAAAAUCCGUGGCUUGAAAAAGCGUGAGGGUUCAAAUCCCUCAGGGGCCA